RNAcentral lists this long non-coding RNA (9662 nucleotides) under Lynx pardinus (Iberian lynx). The stretch from base 1631 to 1715 matches the Rfam family "tRNA". The record is from RNAcentral. Lineage: Eukaryota; Metazoa; Chordata; Mammalia; Carnivora; Felidae.
GCAAAGCUGCCCUCAUCCCGAGUGCAGCCCGCUGGCCCCCCGGGGGGCCGGGUGCUUGACAAUGAGCCCCGUGCUGUCAGCGUUCCUGAGGGAGCUCCCUGGCUGGCUCCUGUUCGCUGGGGUCUUCCUGCCUGUGACUUUGCUGCUCCUCCUCCUCAUCGCCUACUUCAGGACCAAACUGAUGGAGGGUAAGUGGGAAGCCACACAGGGCAGGGGCUCGAAGGCCUUUCCCAGGACUCAGCUGCACAGGCCAGCGCACGGUCCGUGUUUCCGGGGGGCCUCGGGAGACACACGGCUGUGACUUACAGGCACUUCUCACCAAGUGCUCUGUCACCACCCGUUCACUGGUGGACGGGCAGUCUGACCCUUUCCGCAGCGUGGACCCGCCGUGGGGACCCCUAACCAUAGCUUCUCACGGAGAGCCCAACUAUGAAUCAGCAAUUCCUACAUGUGACUCUCUCUCUCUCUCUCUCUCUCUCAGGGAAAAUAUAUUCUACAAAUGUUAAAAUGCAUAUCAUGGACUGCCCUCUCUACGUGACACAUAGGUGCAUAUGCCAUGAGUGUGCACACACACAGGCUUCUUGCUCACCCACUGAGCUUCUAUUAAGCAAAUGUGCCGGGGCACCUGGGUGGUUCAUCCGGUUGAGCAUCUGAUGCUUGAUUUGGGGUCAGGUCAUGAUCCCAGUGUUGUGGGAUGUCCACGUUGGGCUCCCUGAGCUGGGCACGGAGCCUACUUGGGAGUCGCUCUCCCUCUCCCUCUGUCCCUCUCCUCAGGUCGCACUCCCUAAAAUAAAAAUAAUAGGGGCGCCUGGGUGGCGCAGUCGGUUAAGCGUCCGACUUCAGCCAGGUCACGAUCUCGCGGUCCGUGAGUUCGAGCCCCACGUCGGGCUCUGGGCUGAUGGCUCAGAGCCUGGAGCCUGUUUCCGAUUCUGUGUCUCCCUCUCUCUCUGCCCCUCGCCCGUUCAUGCUCUCUCUCUGUCCCAAAAAUAAAUAAACGUUGAAAAAAAAAUUUUAAAAAUAAAAAAUAAAAUAAAAUAAAAAUAAUAAUAACAAUUAUUAUUAUUAUUGUGCUGUCACAGUGUUUGGCAAAUGUCAAGCCCUAAUAGAUAGCUGAUGGCUUGGUGUAUGCUUUUCAUGAAACUAUAGUCUCUUUUUUUAAUGUUCAUUUAUUUACUUUUUGAGAGAGAGAAGAGAGAGAGCACUUGAGGCAGAGACAGAGAGAGACAGAGAAUCCCAAGCAGGCUCUGCACCGUCAGCACAGAGUCUGAUGCAGGGCUUGAACCCACAGACAGUGAGAUCAUGACCCAAGCCGAAAUCAAGAGUCGGACCCUUAAGCGACUGAGCCACCCAGGCACUCCCAUGAGACUAUAGUCUCAAAGAGAAACAAAACAAAACGAAACAAAACAAAACAAAACUCAGGAAGCUCAAAGUGAUUUGGACAUAGACAAUUGGGUCCUAGUUUGAGACUGGUUAUUCUGCUAUAAUUAAAUUAAUGAAACUGAACUUUGACUUCAUAGACUGUUAAUAAUGUGCCCAGGAAACACUAGAUUAAUAUCACAAAGGUUAAUAGUUAUUUUAGCAAUAGCAACAAAAACCAGUAAUAUUUAAAAUGUUGGAUGGUGUCAGGGGCGUCUGGGUGGCUCAGUCGGUUGAGCGUCCGACUUCAGCUCAGGUCAUCAUCUCAUGUUUCAUGGGUUCAAAUCCCAUGUCGGGCUCUAUGCUGACAGUUCGGAGGCUGGAGCCUGCUUCGGAUUCUGUGUUUUCCCCUCUCUCUGCUCCUCCCUCUCUCUCUCUUUCUCUCUCUCACACAAAAAAUAAAAUAAAAUAAAAUAAAAUAAAAUAAAAUAAAAUAAAAUAAAAUAAAAUAAAAUAAAAAUUUUUUAAAUAAAAUAAAAUGUGAGAUGGUGUCAUAUUAAAGCACUAUUUAAAACAAAUUUGAAAAUUGUUCCUUCUCCACUGAAAUUGGCCACAUCCCAGCAAUGCCUUCAUGGAUUCCAUUCUGAAAACAGAUGUUUAGAAUCUUGAAUGAAGAAUGCCAUCACCUAGGCCUAAAAUCAAGUAGAAGUACAAUUGGGGAUAUUUCUAAGGUGAGGUUUAGAACACCAAGAAAUCCUAGAGAGCAGAGAGCUCAUUAGAAAAUCACAAGUUUCUGAUCCUAACAUACUCAAACAUACCCUCGCCUUUUAUUUUUUUGGUCUCAUUUUUAUGACCAGCUCUCUUGUUGAAUGACCCAGCUGUAUGCUGUCUUGCCCUCCAGCAUUCGUGUGGAGAUCCUCAUGAAUCCUCUUCUUUAUUAAGUUAGUUUAUCCUCCACUGCCUCAAGACCAGUCUAGUGGAUGUUCUGCCACUUAGCCAUUCAUUAACAGUGGACCCUGGAAAAGAGCCUCUGAAAAAGGAAGAGAAAAUUAGAACCCCCCAGGAUCCUAACUACAGGAGUUUUAGUCUUCCAAACUGGUCUAAUGUACAGCCACUGCAAACACGUCCAUUUUGAAAGUCUUUUAAAGGUGUUGGAUUGGCCGCCUGUCACGCACAUGCAUGCCACAGGCUCCCGGUGACACUGAGCACCCUAUGGAGAAGUAACAGGAUGCUGAUGUCACAGCCGGAGACUUGAAUCGUUUAUGUCAUUCUCAAGUUUCAUCUCUGCCUGCCUUUUCAGGUAGAUAAAAUGUUUAGUAUCUCUAAAGUGUAUCAAGCAUUAAAUGACGCUAACAACACACCCAAAUAGGCUCAUGGAUUCUCAAGUCUCUUUCUGGCCUCUACUUAUCGGUUAUUUUAGGUCAGAUCGUUCAGCAGGACACCUGGUGUUUGGGAUGGAUUCUUCAACAAAGGAUGAAUCUUGGUUUUAUAGCUUUAUUUAUCCCUGGGUGACAUUUGGGGGAAAAUAUCUAUAAUCUGCAAAAAUUAAAAUUAAAUGGGUCUACAGUAUUUUGCCUAGAUAUUUAGAUAAUGUAGAGAAUUAUGAGGUAUAGACAUAUCAAUCUCAUUCCUUCAGAAGGCCCUGGAAAAGGCAGCCUGCCCUUGAAAGUGUGGCCUGGCAUCACAGGGGGCUGAGGCAGGAAAAAAUGUCGGCAACGUCCUACACGCAUGCCCGGCCCCAAGGACAUGUUCAACGUGUGGGCUACGAUCAUUGCACAAUGACACCCUUCCUUCUUUGACACCUCCCUGUCCAUGUAAGUUAUCUAGAGAUCAAAGCCUCUGAUUUUUGCAACACGGCAAGGAAACCAAAGGAAAGCAAGAAGGUUUAAACCAAAGGAAAAGCAAGAAGGUUAGCCCUACACAAUGAAGGCCAACGCCCCCUGGGUAGAGGUCUUUCACCAACUUUUACGUGCACUCCAAACUUGCCCCAUACUUCUGGGUAGGAAGAAUUCUCAUUCAUUCAUUCAGCACAUAUUUGAGAAUCUACCAUAUACCAGGGAUUGUCCUAGCUACUGACACAGAUUUUUACUCUGAGAUUUUAGAACUAAGAGAACAAUCCCAGGUCUAGAAAACCACAAAAAUCAUCCCACAAAAUUGGUAGAAGUUGAAGGAGAGACAUUGCAAAUCUCCAUUUUUCUGGCUCUGGCCUCAUUAGAUGUCUGGCCAAUGGCCUUAAGAAUGACCUGCCCUUCUCCCUAAAUCUUACCCCAAAGUUAGAGCAGAGCAUUCCCACCAGAAGCAGAACCCUCUGAACAGCUCAGGGGCACCCACAGCGAUGUAAUGAGUCUCAUUUUCAGUGGUUCUUCUCCAUUGUCCCCUUUUGUUGGCUCUCACUGAAGUGUACCUUGGAGCUUCCAGGCUACUGGUGAGGAGCCCAGGAAGGGUGAGUGAAGAUGUGGAAGGAGCCAGCAAAACUCUCUGCAUCAAUCACUUAAUGAAGUAGGGGUCCCAUUUGAGGCUUAUUGUUGGAAAGAAUACUAAGGACUGUUAGCACUCUGACACCGGUGGCCUUCCAAGGAACCAUCUGCAGGACACCAAGGGAGGAUUGUCCGGCUGAUGGGGCCAAAGAAGGCUCCCUAUUGUCAGUUUUCAUUCAGUUGAGACUGGGUCCCAAGUGCAGUGGGGUGAGGAGAGUGGGGGCCUUGGGCACCAUCCCUUAUAGUUACCUGGCCAGGGGUACCUAUCCAGGGGUACCUGGCCAGGAGGGCAGCUGAGGGGCAGCCUGCACCACAUCACUGUCUAGAGAAUUUUCUAUUCAAACCAUAACUUGCUUAUCUUUCCCUCUUCUCCCAAACGGGAACUGUGCAUCCUUUUUUGGAAUAAUUCCUGAUUAUGUUGUCCAGUGUAAGCAUAUUUUCAUUUUUAUGCAGAUCUCUUCCCCUAAUCUUCCAAAAUUUCCUUAAAAAAAAAAAAAACUUCAAGAACAUGUAGCCUUUUAAAAAUGGAGCUGUUUUCCUAAGUGUAAGUAGUAAUAUCUCUUCUAUAGUUUGAGGGCAAUUGAGCUCACUUGGCCCCAAAUAAAAUAUCACCAGUUUAUAUCUCUAUUUAGCAGUUCCCACUUAAAAACUGUAACCAGAUGGUCAAAUGUCAUGUCAUUAAUCUUCCAUCCGGGGUUAUGGCAAGUGUAAUCAUUCCUAUUUUGUUCCUGUAAAGAAAGAGACAUUGACAGAUUAACUAGUGUGUUCACAGAACCCCAGAGUCCUGCAUUCUGAAACAGAAAAUCAGCUUGCCUGCCCCAUACAUCCUAGUCCAUCAGACAAGAGAGACAUUUUAAGAUGUGAUAGAAAGCUUGUGCAGGUACUGUAAUCACUCAACAUUAAUCCCUACACUUGAAGCCUUAGGAAGUAAUGGCACAUGUAAAUUUAAUUAGUAUGUAGAGCACAUCAAUUUUCUCACAAAGGAAGAAAGAAAAUUCUCUAGCAUCCUGCACUCUUCAAUCUCUGUCAGUUGCCUUGAGGAGCAGCUCUUGAGGUGGAGGUCUGAAUCUUGAACUUGCCAUCUGCCAAACCCUUCAUCAGCCAUUACUACGAACAUUUCAUUCCUUCUAGAGUAGAAGUUUUGAUUAUCUUAUCUCCCCAAGUCCCGAGAUUCCUAAACCUCUACUUUCAGUGCUGUUAUUUCCCCUCAAAAUACCAUCACUCUGAUCAAGAUCAAAAUGCUCUCUAAGUAGCCAACAUUGCCAAAAAUAAUCAUUAUUUUUUAAAAAAGUGUCUAUUGAAUGCCCAAAAGUUUUCAUAUGGAGUUAGAUCCAAAAUAAGGUCGGGUAAGUGAUCACAUUCUGGCCUUCAGCAACUUACAUUCUGAGACAACUCAAGUAUUGAAAAUGUGCAGGUGGCUAGACCUCGUUCACUGAACUUCAUAUGUAUGUUUUAAUAGUCAGCAAUCAAAAGGGAAAAAGAUUAAGUAUUUGGAAAAAUCAGAAUAAUUUAAGCGUUAGUAGGGUAAAAUUGUUAAGAGCUCGGACUAUGGGGUCAAACCAAAUGGGGUUCAAAUUCCAGAUCUGUAACAAUGGCCACCCAAUCUUCUGAAGCUUCAGUUUUUCAUCUGUAAAAUAGAAUAAUAGCAGGAGGGGUGGCUGGGUGGCUCAGUCAAUUGAGGGUCUGACUCUUAAUUUCGGCUCAGGUCAUGAUCCCAGAAUUGUGGGACUGAGCCCCACAUCAGACUCCAUGCUGACUGUGGAACCUGCUUAAGAUUCUCACUCUCUCUCUCUCUCUCUCUCUCUUUCUCUCUCUCUCUCUCCCUCUGCCCCUCUCACCCACCCUGGCAUUCUCUCUCUCUCUCAAAAAAUGAAAUAAAUAAGUAGAAUAAUAGCAGGAAGGAGCUAUAAGAUUGAUGUGGGGAUUAAGUGAGGUCAUACGUACAAGUCUCUUAACAAUGCCUGUUCUCAAAACUGUUAGUCAUUAUUACCCCUGCUAGCUUAUAAAUUCCAAGAAGCAGUGUUCAUGUCAUUAUGAUAGCUAUUAUUAAGAUUACCUUAUAAUAAUUAAGUAAAUAGCCCAAAUCACUCACCUAGAAAGUGGUAGAGACAGGAAUUGAACGCUGGCUGGCCAACUCCAGCGCUAGCCUUCUCAGCCAACACACAAUUCCUGGAGUGUUGAACACAGAUGACAUGUUCAAUAGAUAUCUGUUGAAUGGAUGAAACCUUUUGGACCAGCCAAAUAAACUUACUACCAAUAUGGAGAGCAACUGUGGGAGAAUUUUAAACGUGGCAAGAAUUUUAUAAAAGCUUUGAGAGGAUUUGAUCUCUUUAUAUAACAGGAGUGAUUCUUUUUUUUUUUUUAAUGUUUAUUUAUUUUUGAGAGAGAGAGAGAGAGGCAGACUGCAAGCAGGGGAGGGGCAGAGAGAGAGGGAGACAGAAUCUGAAGCAGGCUCCAGGCUCUGAGCUGUCAGCACAGAGCCCCAACUGGGUCUCAACCCACAAGCUGUGAGAUCAGGCCCUGAGCCGAAAUCAGAUGCUCCCCCAGGAAUAAUUUUUUAUGAUGGUGAUUCCUUAGCAUAAAGACUUAACGCUGAGGCAGGGAGGUUGCAUUUCUUCACCUGUGGCCCAAUAGGGAAAACUUCCGUUGCCUGCAGAAUUUCCGCAAUUAACAAAACACCCGCCUGCCAAUCUCACCUAUCUAGCAUCUCUCUGCACUUUCCUUAACAGACCAAUUAAGUACAACAAUGACCAGGUUGCAAGCUCUUUUAGAAGCGUAAAUCAUUGCUCUUGCUCUCUGGGUUGUGCCUUGCACCACACACUAUGUACUGGAGAGAUAACUCCUUGCGGAUUGAUGAGUUUCCUCUUGGUCUCUCUAUUCUAGUUCUCCACUCCGGCAGGUACUCAGGUCACGCAUUUUCAGUUCUACAAUUUGUAUCCGGGCUCCUCAUUCAAAGCACUUGUGCACAGUCUUCUAUAAUUAGAAAUAAGAAGGAAGGGGCGUCUGACUCUUGAUUUGGACUCAGGUUAUGAUCUCACAGUUCACGAGAUCGAGCCCUGAAUCGGGCUCUGCACUCUGCACGCAGGGCCUGAUUGGGAUUCUCUCUCUCUCUCUCUCUCUCUCUCUCUCUGUCUCUCUCAGUCUUCCCUCCCCGACCUCGAGGUAAAUAAACAAACAUUAAAAAAUAAUAAUAGUAAAAUAAAAAGGAAGAGAGGUACACGGGUGGCUCAGUCAGUUGAGCAUCUGACUCUUGAUUUUGGCUCAAGUCAUGAUCCCAGGGUCAUGGGAUCGAACCCCGCGUCAGCCUCUACACUGAGUGUGGAGCAUACUUGGGAUUCUCUCUCUCUCUCUACCUCUACCCCUCACUCGUGCAUCCUCUCUAAAAUGAAAUUAAAUUAAAAAUAAAAUUAAAUAAAGUAAAAAGGAAGAAAUUACUGACAUUCCAGUGAGUUUAUUAUCUAAACCAUGGGCCAUCUCAAGCAACAUCUUAGAACAAGCAAUAAUCUAGUGGAGAGGCCGUGUAACCAAGUAGUUGAGAAUGUGGGCUCUGGAAUCAGACUUCCUGGGAUGGAAUCCUGAGUCUAUUCUUUUCUGGCAUCUUAAGCAAGUGGCUUCCUCUUGAUGUCUCCCUGCCUCAGUUUGCUCAUCUGUAAAGUCAGACUCCCAAGGGUGACUACAAUAUAAUGCCAUCAAGAGUUAAACAUGAUAAGACACGCAAAGGGCUUCACACACUGACACAUAACAAGUACUCAGCAAAUAGUAGCUAUUAAAUAUUGAGGCUCAUGCAGCCUGUCUCUGCCUGGUGUACAUGUAAUGCCCCUCGACUAUGACAACAAGCAGUCGCGGAGACCUAGAAGAACCUGGCUCAGGGAGAGUGCCUGUGUCCUGGGCUACAGGGCGUACAAAGUGCCCAGCGAGGGCUAAAUUGCGUGGAUUGGCUAUGGGAGCCAAAGGGAACAUUUCCAGGCUCAAGUCUAUAAACAUGCACUCUCUCCCAUAAGAUUACAAGCCCCUGGUCUCUGGCUUUGGAUGAUCUGACUUAUUAUAAUUGUGAAAAUAAAACUUUUAAGAGCAAAAGCAGGCUCAGUUGUGGUGGUCAGGAAAAGAGAUAUAUUUUUUUAAUGUACCAGGAAGGUCCCAAGUGACACUUAUUGGGAUCUCAAGAGAAAUCUCAGAGCUACAGAUCCAAUUUGUUAUUGCCAGAGAGGUAAUAGUUGAAGCUACGGGAGCAGAGAAGAGGACACAGAAGAGAUGGCACAUGAUAAAAACCAAAGGGAGGAAAAUAACUGGAGCACGGGAGGGCUUGUGUCAAAUGCUACAGAGAAGGAAGCUGGGGAUUGAAAAAUGCCACUAGAUCUAGUAAUUAGGAUAUUAGUGCUGAGUUGUGUGUGUGUGUGUGUGUGUGUGUGUGUGUUUAAAUUUUUUUCUUAUUUUUGAGAGAGAGAGAGAGAGGGAAACACAGGAUCUGAAGCAGGCUCCAGGCUCUGGGCUGUCAGCACAGAGCCUGAUGCGGGGCUCGAACCCACGAACCGUGAGGUCCUGACCUGAGCUGAAGUCAGACACUUAACGGACUGAGCCACCCAGGUGCCCCUCAUGGAUGACUUUUCAUAGUUCAGUAGAGUAGCUUUAACGGAAGUUGUAUUUUAAGGGGUUAAGGGGUAUGCGGGUGGUAAAAGUUGAAACUGUCAGUUCUCACUAAAGGAUGCCAAAAGGUAAAGGAGAGAAGACUAAUCUGACAUAUCUAAAGAUUAUAAAUGUGCAAACACAUUAUUUUGGGGGUGGGAGGAGGAGCAGGGAUAGAAACUCUUAUCUUACUCAUUUCCACAUCCCCAGCCCCUGGCCUACAGACAUGCUGAAUAAAUGCCUAUUGAAUGAGGGAGUCGUAAGAAAUUUAAUCAACACUUAAUCUGCUAAAUAUUAACAAUACUUAGCAUGUAAUGAUUAUUACAGUGGUCAUUUGUCCACCACAACCGGGACCAUUUUUGCAAAAUAAACAUCUACAUUUCUUCCGGAAGUGGUUGGGAAGGUAAGGGGAGUUCCUGCAGCAGGCCUUGCUGUGGGGGCCCGGCCUUGGGGACCUGGCAGAAAUGCUGGCCAACAACCACUUAUGAGUUGUACGUGCCCAAUGGCAGGCACUGGGGCUGUCUCCAAAGUACUAACUGAUAGUUUUCCUUCCAGUGAAUGAAGAAUUGUCCCAGACCACCAGUCAUCACCAAUACAAACGCAGGGCUGGCUCUUCCCAGUACCAGAGAACGAAACGAAGGUGACUUGGGGACCGGUCAAUGGCUAAAACACAGUGAAUUUCUACUGGUCAGCGGCUUAGCUAAUAAAGUAAGUUAAUAAACUCGAACAACAGCAAAAAUAGAAAGAAUACCAAGAGGCUUGUUCUUAACCACAUUGAAAAGUGGCAGCUAUUAUCCGGGGGGACAUCCACGAGACUCAGUCAAUAGCAGGUCAUCAGAGAGUACAAAGAAUAUGAUUUGCUUGGAUGUCGACUGGACACUGCAAUUUUUUACCUUUUAUAGGUAAAAUGUGCCCACUCUGAUGGGCACUCUUUUUCAUUUUUUAAAAUGUUUUUAUUUAUUUCUGAGACAGAGAGACAGAACACGAGUGUGGGAGGGGCAGAGAGAGAAGGAGACACGGAAUCUGAAGCAGGUUCCAGGAUCUGAACUAUCAGCACAGAGCCCGACACGGGGCCCGAAUCCACAAACUGUGAGAUCAUGACCUGAGCUGAAGUCAGGCGCUUAACCAACUGAACCACCCAGGCACCCGUGAUGGGCACUAGUUUUUGUUUUUUUUUUUUUUUUUAAAUUUUUUUUUUCAACGUUU